Molecule: ribosomal RNA, 464 nt
Filed under: uncultured archaeon
Lineage: Archaea
Description: bacterial SSU rRNA
Rfam family: Archaeal small subunit ribosomal RNA
Source: RNAcentral
UUCCGGUUGACCCUGCCGGACCUGACUGUUAUCGGAUUGAUACUAAGCCAUGCGAGUCUUUGCAGUAAUGCAAGGCGGACUGCUCAGUAACACGUAGUCAACUUAACCUAUGGAUGGGUAUAACCUCGGGAAACUGAGAAUAAUUCCCAAUAGAUCAUUUAUCCUGGAAUGGUUAGUGAUUGAAAUGAUUCGUCGCCAUAGGAUAGGACUGCGGCCUAUCAGCUUGUUGGUGAGGUAAAGGCCCACCAAGGCUAUUACAGGUACGGGCUCUGAGAGAAGAAGCCCGGAGAUGGGUACUGAGACACGGACCCAGGCCCUAUGGGGCGCAGCAGGCGAGAAAACUUUGCAAUGUGCGAAAGCACGACAAGGUUAAUCCGAGUGAUUUCUGCUAAAGAAAUCUUUUGCCAGUUCUAAAAAUACUGGUGAAUAAGGGGUGGGCAAGUUCUGGUGCCAGCAGCGCGGUA